RNAcentral lists this long non-coding RNA (3458 nucleotides) under Homo sapiens (human). RNAcentral's name for it is "HSALNT0087711". The record is from RNAcentral. Lineage: Eukaryota; Metazoa; Chordata; Mammalia; Primates; Hominidae.
UUGAGUACAGCAUGAUGUGAUCUGACAUAUUGUAGAAGAAUUUUGAAGGCCACACUGUUGGGAAUCAUUGUAUUGAAGCACAGGUGAGUCAUGUAAAGUACUUAGAAGACAACUGCAAUCAUCCAGGCAACAGAUGAUGGAGUGCUCAUACAGGGCUGGCAGAAGGGAAAGUGUUCCAGGCCACGGACAACACAAGGUGCUUGGUGAGCUCUAAAUGGUACCUGCUUUCUGCUGGUAAACAUAAAAUGAAUUUGUGAUGGAAAGAAUUCACCCGUGAAGGCUGCCCGUCUCUGGGAAGAAGGAAGACAGAUUGUUUGUGAUAAGAAUUGCAUCAUCCACAUUGGAACAUCCUGUGUGUGAAGUGAGGGCUCUGAAGCGGGAUGGCCCUCCGCCUACACCGAAAAGAGAACAGACCACAGCCUUACUUACAGCCAGAGGGCUGCCCAGAGAAUUUUGAGGUUCCAGGGGACAAGUAUAUCUCACAGCUGGAAAGAGGAAAGGAUGAAGACAAAAUUUGAACACAAGACUUAAAACAACUAAAUUAUCUCUAAGUAUUCUUAAGUAAUUUGAGUUAUAUUUGUCCUUCCCAAAACAACAAGACUCUAAGCCACCCAAGGGCAAGGGCUGAAGGGUAUCAUCUAUUUAUUCUGAAUCACCUUGAACAUCUUGACAUGGACUCUAUAUGAAACAUCUGUCGAAAAGGCAUUGAUGACUACAUCAAAGGAGAUAGAAAAUCACAGCUCCUUGAAAAUUGUUAUCAUUUUCUUUCAGAAGUGAUCAUUAUCAUUUUUGAGGAUGAAAAUGUAGGGAUUGGUGUCAUAUCUUUUUUAUUCCAGUGGGAACUGUCAAAAGUGUUUUGUUUUUGAUGCUUCUUUCUGAAUGAUUGAGAAAUGCUAAUCAUUUCAAAAAACAGAACAAAGACCAAGGCAUAUAAAGCCUUGAUAGAUUUUAUUUUAUUUUUUUUGAAAAUUCUUAUUUCUGAUGGAAAGGGAAUGAAGGAAAGGAAUAAGGCAAAUCAUGUUUCUCUGUAUGACACUGACAGCAUUAAUGCUGCCAGUUCUUCAUCCUACAGAAAGAAGGUUGUGUGGAUAUUAAUGCUCUCUCUGGAGAUGGGAAUAUGCCUCAUGUUGCUUAAGAUCAAUAUUUACCUUCGCAGACACUGAAGACAGAAUGGACUCUUUAAAAUUGACAUCAAAGUUCCAUUAACAUGUGCUUUCACAAAGAAAUGUCCUACUUUCUAGGCAGCAUUGCAAGUGCAUGGUAUUUCAUAUGUCUAUUGUUUUAGGCACUGAAAGGCCGGAAGAAAAAGGCUUGCUCUUCCAUUGCGCCUCUGCAUUUCAGGGAGCAGAUUCUGUAGAGUGCUCCAAAAUGAUAAUGAAGUCAAUGAUGAAGCAACGGGGACUUUAAGUAGUUAACGUCCCUCUGUAAGUGCCAAAAUCACUGUAUCAGGGAUUUGUCCACACAAGGAAUUCAGCUUUUUAUUUCUUACAAAUAAUGUGCUGCCAUGAAGAGAAACACAAAUACUCAUUCUGAAAUACUCUAUAGCAAAAUCUGCAAAGCUUAACAUCUGCAAAUUUUCUCCUUAACAUCUAUUUUUCAUAUGCUCCAUUGCUCCUUUUUAUUUUUGAAUAAUAAAAAAAUGCAAAAGAAAAUAACAGCAAAUUAAGCAGAGAUCCAGAAUUGGCAUGCAAAAUACCUGGUGUUUUCAACCAACAUUUAUCUUCACCCCAUUGUGGAGAGCUCAAUAAAUGCUAUUUGAAUAUGUUAUCAAUCAUCUAACAUAUUAGCGUGGAGAGAUGAUGCCAAACUGCUUUCACCUUUAAAAUACCUAAUUCUGGAAAGGACACGUGACUGUACAUAAAACAACCUCAUUUUCCCCCAUUAAUUAGACCUGGGCAGAUCAUUUAAUGGCAGGAAAUUAUGAUGGAGUUCAUUUUAUCAUUUAGCAGUUCAAUUAUACAGCAAUUCACAUAUAUAGGCAUAUAUGUGUUACUAUAUAUGCAUAGAUAUAUAUUAUUAACUUAUGUCUUGCCAUUGAACUGAGAAUAAAAUCCAAUGUCCUCACUGUAAAUUCAAAGGUCCUUCAUGAUUGAGCCCUGGUGUAUCUUUCUGACUUCACUUCCGACCACUCUCGUCCUCCCUCCCUGUGUUCCAGCCACACUCACUUUCCUUCUGUUUUUUGAACACAUGCAGCUCAUUCUGCUUAUGCGCUUUGCAGCUGCCUGUUCCACUGCCUAUAACAUCCUCACCUAAUACGGCAUGUAGGACUUUGCUCAAAUAGGUCUCUGCUCUCCCUUGGCCCUCUGUGUAGCAGCAGCACCCUUCUUCAUCACUGUAUCACUACUAGAGCAAUUAUCCAAAAUUAUCUUAUAUAGCCAUAUUCUUUUGUCUGUGCCUACUAAAAUGUAAGCUCCUUGAGAAGUCAAACCUUGUUUCUUUUAUUCACUCUUACUUUCUCAGCACCUAGGAUUUUUUUUUAAUAAAAUGCAUUUUAAUUACUAUAUGUUCUUCAAUAAUGAUUUGGAAUAUAGAGAAAACUCAAGGGAAAAAUCAUUCAUAAUCUUUUCUUUCUACUGUAAGUUCAGUUAAUUCAGAUGUAUUUCCUUCCAGUAUUUUUCCUCUAUUUAAAUUAUAAUGUUUAUUCCAACUCGCAUCUUACUGUUUCUUAAUGCUUAUGUCUGCCUAUGUCAGAAUCAUCCUGACUCAUUUGAGUGCCACAACAAUCCUGUGGAACAGCAAAACCAAGCUAUUAUUAACAAAUUACAAAUAAGGAAACUGAAACUCAUGAAGGCUAAAUGUCUUUCUUGCGCAAUGUCACCCACUCUGAGUCUAGGUUUGGCUCAUCUCUCAACUUUAUUGUCCAGAAUUUCUAUUCAUAAAUGAUCUGCUCAUUUUUCCUCACAAAGCAUGACCUUCUUUAUCACCAUCCCUUCAUUCCAUUGAUACUAAAUCUCUUUUCAGCUACUUAAAUCUUUCCCUUUAUAUCCUGCCUCUUUUGAUAAAUCUGGACAAUCUCAAUUCUCUAUACUUUUUCUCUUAAUAUGUAUUUACAAUUCAGAUCUCUGUCAUCAUUUCACACUUGGCAUAUGAUAUCUAAAUAGCUCAUAAAAAAUUAAUGGAAGUAUUCUGUCUAAUUCAACAUGUAUUUCUUCUUUGCAAUCCCAGUGCCUAUAUCUUCUGAUGUCUGUCCUCAUAGUUCAACUGAAUCAUAUGGAUAAUAAGAACCAUAUUUGGUUCAUCUUGUUUCCUUCCUCCAAACCAUGCCCAUGUGUCUAUACAUACUUAAAAAAUGGAUCAUUCAACAUAUGUUUAUACAGCUCCUUUGUACCAGGCGUUUUUUAAGGUCCUGAGGAUACUGCAAAUAAAUAAAACUAAAAUCUCCCUGUUCUCUUUGCAUUUCCAUUAUGGUAAUUUUACUAAAAAAAAUGGCAUCAAAAUGUAUAAGUGUUAAAAUAAAG